GAGAAGGAAGUAUUUAUGGAGGAGAGUUUAUAUUUCAUUAUACCUUAGAGACUGGUAAAGGCGAAAGCAACCUUCUAUCUAAUAACUGACGUUGAGGUACGAAGGCCUGGGUAGCAAACAGGAUUAGAUACCCUAGUAGUCCAGGCAGAGAAUUAUGAAUGCCAUAUGCUAGAUUAAUUUAGCAUAUAAAUGAAAGUGUAAGCAUUUCACCUUAAGAGUAAUGCGGCAACGCAGAAACUGAAAUCAUUAGGCCGUUUCUGAAAUCAGUAGUGAAGUAUGUUAUUUAAUUCGAUAUUCCACGAAAAACCUUACCACAAUUUGCAUAUUAUUUUUAAUCUUAAUUGCAUAAAAAUAUUACAAGCGUUGCACGGCUGUCUUCAGUUAAUGUCGUGAGAUUUUGGUUUGUUCCAUAAAAUUAACGUAAACCCUUGCUUUAUUUUUAAAUAGUAUUUUAUAAAGCAGUUCGCCAUUAUAUUGGUUGAUAUAUGGGACCAAGACAAGUCAUCAUGACCUUAAUAUUGUGGGC
RNAcentral lists this non-coding RNA (526 nucleotides) under Pseudogymnoascus sp. VKM F-4520 (FW-2644). RNAcentral's name for it is "Bacterial small subunit ribosomal RNA". It matches the Rfam family "Bacterial small subunit ribosomal RNA", at positions 655 to 1214 of the family's 1533-position model. Lineage: Eukaryota; Fungi; Ascomycota; Leotiomycetes; Thelebolales; Thelebolaceae. The record is from Rfam by way of RNAcentral.